UAGCUAGGGCACCUUGAGACAAAUCAUUAACUUUCUUUUGGAUUUGAUAUAAUUUUGCCCCAUUUGUUUGGUCAUACCUGUCUUCCAACUCCUUCCAAAGCUCAUGAGAAUUGUUAACAUAUUCCACACUGUCCGAUAUAUCCUUGGAUAAAGAAUUUAGAAUCCACGAAAAGGUAAAUUUUCAUCAAAUUUCUCACAGUUCCCGUCAAUGAAGCACAAUUUAUUCUUAAUCGAUAAAGCUCUCA
RNAcentral lists this long non-coding RNA (245 nucleotides) under Capsicum annuum. Its description in RNAcentral is "long non-coding RNA (CANN_LNC018156)". Lineage: Eukaryota; Viridiplantae; Streptophyta; Magnoliopsida; Solanales; Solanaceae. The record is from RNAcentral.